Molecule: non-coding RNA, 102 nt
Filed under: Priestia megaterium
Lineage: Bacteria; Bacillati; Bacillota; Bacilli; Caryophanales; Bacillaceae
Also listed under: 1 other name
Description: Bacillus megaterium Guanine sequence
Rfam family: Purine riboswitch aptamer
About the family: Riboswitches are metabolite binding domains within certain messenger RNAs that serve as precision sensors for their corresponding targets. Allosteric rearrangement of mRNA structure is mediated by ligand binding, and this results in modulation of gene expression.
Source: RNAcentral
UGUAUCGAAAUACCUAAAGCUCGUAUAAUCUUGGAAAUAGGGUCCAAGAGUUUCUACCGAACUACCGUAAAUAGUUGGACUACGAGGGGUGAACAUCAUUCA